Molecule: ribosomal RNA, 503 nt
Filed under: Acrobeloides maximus
Lineage: Eukaryota; Metazoa; Nematoda; Chromadorea; Rhabditida; Cephalobidae
Description: SSU rRNA
Rfam family: Eukaryotic small subunit ribosomal RNA
Source: RNAcentral
CGCGAAUGGCUCAUUACAACAGCUAUAAUUUACUUGAUCUUGACAAUCCUACUUGGAUAACUGUGGUAAUUCUAGAGCUAAUACAUGCACCAAAGCUCUGACCUUACGGGAAGAGUGCAUUUAUUAGAACAAAACCAAGCGGCUUCGGCUGUUUUCGGUUGACUCAUAGUAACUGAGCUGAUCGCAUGGUCUUGCACCGGCGACGUGUCUUUCGAGUAUCUGCCGUAUCAACUUUCGAUGGUAGUGUAUCUGACUACCAUGGUGAUCACGCGUAACGGAGAAUAAGGGUUCGACUCCGGAGAGUUCGCCUGAGAAAUCGCGAACACAUCUAAGGAAGGCAGCAGGCGCGAAAAUUACCCACUCUCAGCACGAGGAGGUAGUGACGAAAAAUAACGAGACCGUUCUCUUAUGAGGCCGGUCAUCGGAAUGGGUACAAUUUAAACCCUUUAACGAGUAUCUAUGAGAGGGCAAGUCUGGUGCCAGCAGCCGCGGUAAUUCCAGCU